Molecule: long non-coding RNA, 227 nt
Filed under: Durio zibethinus
Lineage: Eukaryota; Viridiplantae; Streptophyta; Magnoliopsida; Malvales; Malvaceae
Description: long non-coding RNA (DZIB_LNC002407)
Source: RNAcentral
CACCAUUGUAACCACUAACCGACCUCCAAAAGAAUCCCAACCCCAACACCCUCAACCACAAAAAAAAAAAGUAUAAAAAAUACAAAAAAUAAAAUGAGAGGGAGUUAUGGUUUGGGGGAGCUUUGAGACGGUUUCUGGUCUUGAAAGGAAGAGGAAGAAGUUGUCGUUUGGGGAGGAAGAGGAAGAAAAAGGAAAAGGGAAGAUCGGUGGGUUGACCAACGGUUCGG